Molecule: ribosomal RNA, 305 nt
Filed under: uncultured bacterium
Lineage: Bacteria
Description: bacterial SSU rRNA
Rfam family: Bacterial small subunit ribosomal RNA
Source: RNAcentral
UUGUCCUACGGGGGGCAGCAGUAGGGAAUUUUCGUCAAUGGGCGCAAGCCUGAACGAGCAAUGCCGCGUGAACGAGGAAGGUCUUCGGAUCGUAAAGUUCUGUUGAAGGGGAAAAAGAGCGGAGAGAGGAAAUGGUCUCCGAUUGAUAUUACCCUUCGAGGAAGUCACGGCUAACUACGUGCCAGCAGCCGCGGUAAUACGUAGGUGGCGAGCGUUAUCCGGAAUGAUUGGGCGUAAAGGGUGCGUAGGCGGUCUGUUAAGUCAGCGGUCAAAGCCCGGGGCUCAACCCCGGCCCGCCGUUGAAA